Non-coding RNA from Paramormyrops kingsleyae, 219 nucleotides. The record is from RefSeq and is a predicted model, not a curated record. Lineage: Eukaryota; Metazoa; Chordata; Actinopteri; Osteoglossiformes; Mormyridae.
AGUCUAGUGUACAAAAACAAGGAGCUUUAUGAGUUGGCCUUGGACUUGUCCCUCACUAUGGACCACGUCGGUCAAUUUAUUGACGAGUUGAAAAAGGAGUAGGGUGUGUGCCACCAGAGAGGGAGAAGUGUCUGGGUCUCUGCGUUGCACAUGGUCCCAUUUGCCUCCUACGAAAGCCACAGUUUUGCUUGCAUGGAAAUAAAGUGUUUGAUGAUUAUA